This 2718-nucleotide long non-coding RNA is filed under the name Homo sapiens (human). RNAcentral's name for it is "non-protein coding LINC01541:1". Lineage: Eukaryota; Metazoa; Chordata; Mammalia; Primates; Hominidae. The record is from RNAcentral.
ACAGAAAGAGCCAGGAUCCCAGACUGUGCUGAAGCUUCAUGAGACCUCUCCUCGUCUGUGCACGAAAGAGGAGCCGGACACAGAGUGUCCAGCCGACUCUGGAGCCCAGGCUGUUGCUUCCCGGUCUGGUGGUGAGUCCUCCAUUGUCUGAUGUGGGUAAGUCCAAGACCAAGGAGCCAGCAGAUUCAGAGUCCAGGGAGGGCUGUUCCUGAUUUGCAGAUGGCGCCUUCUCUUUAUGUCUUCACAAGAUUGUGAAGCCUGUAGCUUGGAAGAUACAGGACAUAGGUGAAAGUGUUUGUACCAUUCAUUUAAAGGCAUAAAUGUCCAAUGGGGCCAUCUUGUGAUACAUGCACUGUCACAGGAAAAGUUUCCAGGAAAAGUCAAGCCAGGGCUUCACAGAAGAUCAAAAGAAAGAGACAAGGAGAAGCUAAGUGUAUUAGUCAGGAUUCUCUAAGGGACAGAACUAAUAGAAUAUAUAUACACACACAAACACACACACACACACAUAUAUAUACAUAUAAAUAAAAGGGAGUUUAUUAAGGAGUAUUAACUCACACAAUCACAAGGUCCCACAACAGGCCGGGCCAUCUGUAAGCUGAGGAACAAGGAAGCCAGUCUGAAUCCCAAAGAUGACAAACUUGGAGUUCAAUGUUCAAGGGCAGGAAGCAUCCAGCACAGGAGAUAGAUGUAGGCUGGGAGGCUAAGCCAGUCAAGACUUUUCACGUUUUUCUGCCUGUUUCAUAUCCUAGCUGCAAUGGCAGCUGAUUAGAUGGUGCCCACCCAGAUUAAGGGUGGGUCUGCCUUUCCCAGCACACUGACUCAAAUGUUUAUCUCCUUUGGCAACACCCUCACAGACACACUCAGGAUUAAUAUUUUGCUUCCUUCCAUCCAAUCAAGUUGACACUCAGUAUUAACCAUCACACUAAGCUUGUUAUUUUAUAGAAAUGCUUGAAAACCAGAGAUAAAUGCAGCUACAAAUGAACGAUGACUCUGCGUUUUCCUUGUAUAUAUAAAGAUCAACAAUAACACUUAGGUCAUGAAACCCACCUACUUUACAGAUCAUUAUGGAAAUAAUACACUGCUUCAGCAAUGGAGAAACAAUCAUCCAUAUUUAUGCAAGAACUAAAUUCAAGUUUGAAAGCUUGCUUUGAGCUUGAAGAUAUAAAACAUGAUUCUGUGACAGUAAACAAUGUAUAACAAAUCUUACAGAAAUUUAUGUGAUUACUAAAAAAAAAUCAAUUCAUCAAUUCAAUAAACUGAGUACCGUAUUACUUUUCUAUUGCUUCUUUACCAAAUAAAUACAAGCUUUGCAGUUUAAAACAACAGAAAUUUAAUUUUUUAUAGUUCUGAGGGUCAGUAACCUAAAACUGAUCUUAUGAAAUAAAGUUAAAUCUUGGGGAUAUGGGUGUGGACAGGGCUGGUUUCUUCUGGGGCUCUGAUGGUAAAAUUUGCUUCCUUGCCUUUUCUCCUUCUAGGGAGCCUGCAUUCCCUGCCUCCUAGUGGCUUCCUCCCAUCACUCGAACCUCUGUUUCCAGCCUCAGGAUUCCUAAUGUGACUCUGACGUUUCAUCUCCUGUUUAUGAGGACGCUUCUGAUUGCUAAGAUACAUACGGUGACACUAUGGAAGUUAACUUGAAGAUUAAAACCCUGAAAAAUAGAAAGAAUCUUCUAUGGUAUAUCACAGAGAUUACAAGGGCCUGAAUUAGAGUGGUGACAUUUUCAUCCCUUGAUAAUGGAUUAAAAACAAUUGAAUGAAGCUUUGGGGUGAACUUACAGGACUUUAUGGCAAACUUCAUAUGGGAGACUUACAUGAAGGGAGGAAGAAAUGCGUAUGUGUACAAAAUCAUGUGGAUAGAUGUGCAUUUGUGGGUAUCUGUGAAUACAAAUACACAAUUUUCAGACAGAAGUAGUAUAAGAAAAGGAAAUCAAACAAAGUCAAACAUUUUAAGUGUAGCUCUUGGUGCACUUUAAAAAAUUAUUAAAUUGAAGCUGUAGUUUAUUCUCAUCAUUGUCAUCCUAUAUUAGUGAUUUUCUUUAGCUUUUGAAAUUAAAUUCAUAAUAUUACAAUUCUGAAUUCCUAUGUAUGUAUAUGUUAAGAAUCCUUUAAUGGGACUGACUUUCAUAUGUGUGUGGCUGCAUUCUGAAAUAGUUGUCUAGUUGAUACAUAAAGCAGUGAGUGCUAUUUGUAAGAUAUAUUUAUAUUUAAAGUCUUCAUACAGUUAUUAACUAGCUCCAAUAUUACUGAAAUGAUUUCUCCAAAUAUCCUAUAUUUAAUUAUCAUGCUGGCAAAUUUAUUAUAACUUUGGUUUGAAAAAAUAUAUUAUGAUACAUAUCCACUGACUAAUGCCACCUAUCUGCUUUCCUGAAUUCAAAGUUUAUGAUUAUUUCCAUAAAUGUAUUUAUCAGUAUAAUCAAAAAUAAAAAUAACAUAAAUAAAAUUUCUGUGAGCUUUACACAUCUAAUGUGCAAUGAUUAUAAAUCUGGUCUUAUACACAUGGUAAAAAACAUUUAAGUCACAAAAGUAUACUUCAGGUUUAAGUAUAAAUCUGAAAUUAAAUUCUCAGAUUUAAGUAUAAUUUUUAAAAGCUUUGGUAAUUGUGUCCCUACUGUUAAAUUUAUUGUAUAGUUUUCACUAUAUCAUCUGACCUUUUAAUGUUUCUAGAAACUUGUGUGAGGUCUCAUACUUCAUGGCUAAUAAAGUAUUUAUUUUUCUAUUCUU